CCAGCUCCAAUAGUGUAUAUUAACGCUGUUGCUGUUAAAGGGUUCGUAGUUGAACUGAGAGCUGUACUUAGAUAGCGAUUCUACCCCUACCCACUUUCGUUGGCGUUGCGGGUCAUCGCGCUUGCAGCUCGUGAACAUCCGAAACAAAUAUCGCGGAAUCGACUAAGCUUCAACGCUUCUCUUCUACCCUCGCGCAAAAUGUGCGCCGAAGAGCGUCCGCGUUUUAUUACUGUGACUAAAAAAGUGUGACUCAAGCAGUCAUUCGACAUGAAUUGGAAAGCAUGGGAUAACAACGCAGCAGCCUGCGGGCGACCGUCAAGGCUUUUGUUGGCCCUAAACGUCUGUGGGAGAUUAUGGCUAGGCGCGACAAGCGGUUCGGGGUCUCGUCCCCACGCCUCCGAUUGCCAGCGGGUUUCGGCCCCUGCGCUUUCGGCUCGCCUGGUCAGGAAUGAAGGAGGGUUGUUCGGGGGAGAAAGUUCUCCGUCGUGAGAGGUGAAAUUCUUAGACCGACGGAAGACUAACUACAGCGAAGGCAUUCUCCAAGGAUAACUUCCUCAAUCAAGAACCAAAGUGUGGAGAUCGAAGAUGAUUAGAGACCAUUGUAGUCCACACCACAAACGGUGGCCCCCAUGAAUUGGGGAGUUAUUGAGCUGGCGUGGCUUUGGGUUCGCCCCAGAGACCACCCACUCAUACUUAUCAAAUUUACGUGCAGUUUCGACUAGGGCUUUGGCCCAUCUACGGGAAUAUCCUCAGCACGUUCUCUGACUGUUUCACGCGAAAGCUUUGAGGUUACAGUCUCAGGGGGGAGUACGCUCGCAAGAGUGAAACUUAAAGAAAUUGACGGAAUGGCACCACAAGACGUGGAGCGUGCGGCUUAAUUCGACUCAAC
RNAcentral lists this ribosomal RNA (889 nucleotides) under uncultured eukaryote. Its description in RNAcentral is "bacterial SSU rRNA". It matches the Rfam family "Eukaryotic small subunit ribosomal RNA", at positions 585 to 1204 of the family's 1831-position model. The record is from RNAcentral.